RNAcentral lists this ribosomal RNA (202 nucleotides) under Helotiales sp. RNAcentral's name for it is "partial large subunit ribosomal RNA". Lineage: Eukaryota; Fungi; Ascomycota; Leotiomycetes; Helotiales. The record is from RNAcentral.
AAGCGCUUGCAACCAGACUUGCAUGCGGUUGAUCAUCCGGUGUUCUCACCGGUGCACUUGACCGUGUACAGGCCAGCAUCGGUUCAGGUGGCGGGAUAAAGGCCUUGGGAAUGUAGCUUCUUUCGGGGAGUGUUAUAACCCAGGGUAUAAUACCCCUAAGGAGACCGAGGUUCGCGCUCUGCAAGGAUGCUGGCGUAAUGGU